Molecule: long non-coding RNA, 1312 nt
Organism: Cyprinus carpio carpio
Lineage: Eukaryota; Metazoa; Chordata; Actinopteri; Cypriniformes; Cyprinidae
Source: Ensembl
GAAUGUAAUCAGAGUUAGGGAAUAAGAGUUAAAUUAGAUGUGCAGUGUAUGCUACAUAUAGAGGCAUGACUCCCCUGCAGGGCAUCAAGAAAAACAUGAACCUUGCUUCUUACUAUUUCUGUACUGUAUAUUGCAGUAGUGGUUGGCUGUACAGAUUAAGACAUUUAACUGUCACUUCUCCCAAUCCAGAAUGAUGGUGUGUUUAGGCCAACUAAAUCACCAAACAUUCAUCCAAGAUGGCAGCAUGUAUCCUUGCCAGUUUAUUUUAAGUGUUUGUGCCAUUGCACAUUGAUUUUACUUGGAUUUGACAACUUUUUGAGGCAAGUCUCGGCUCUUAUUGGCUUUUCUAUGUAUUGAAUUUAGUUUUGUGAGAUUUUAUUUUAUUUUAUUUUUAAUGUUUUUGAAUAGUAGUGUUACAGAACGCAGAGUUUUAAGACUGUUUUGUUUAUUCAGUCUCAUUAUUUCUCUUGUGCUACUUUUGAACUUUCUGACAGUGUGACAAUUGAUCAUGGCUCUACGUGAUAGUUUUUAUGUGCUGUGGGAACAUUGGAUAUGUAUUAGGAAGAGAUUGGAUCCAUUAUGUUGUCAUAAUGCUGGAUAGUGUACAGACUGUUGAUUAUGGUUAUAUAUUAUUUCCUUGAAACAUUGUGCCUAAUCCAGGCACUGAAUCUCUUUUACAGUGCAUUACAUUGAUAGGCCUGGAAUUAUGUAUUGAAUGUGUGUUACUUGUUGUUUAUAUAUACAGUCAUGUGAAAAAGUUUGGACACCCUAUUGAUUUUAGUUAAUUUUAUAUUGAUUUUGUUUUGUCAUUUCAUUUAGUAUGAGACCAAUAUUUCCUAACUGAUGUAGCUUGUUUAAAUUUAGGCUGCAGUUUGGAUUAGAGCAGAUUUUGGAAUUUAACUAGUUGCAGAGGUCUUCUUAUUUUCCAAGGUCUUUAAAAUGUUGUAUGAUUCUUCAUUUCAGUUUUCUUAGAAUUAUGGUACGUGAUCAGCAUGUGCUGUCCUAUUUGCUAUCUCACUUUGUAAUCUUUGUUUUUUUAGAACCCUGUCAUGUCAUGUCUACUGUACAACUGACAGCCUUUGUUUCUCUCUCAUGCUUGUUUUACUAUGAAGCUGAGUUGUGUUUGCUAUCACUAGUGUCAUUGUUUGCUAAAGCUUAUAUCAACUCUUCUAUGAUAUACAAAAAAUAGAACUGUGGACGUUAUGCAAAUAUUCAUCCAUGCCUGUAUAACCUAGCCCACUUCAAUUUUUGUCAAAAUGAUUGAAAUAUUGCAGAAAAAGUUAACAAAAAAAUAAAAAAUAAAAAUCUACAA